GUCCACGCCGUAAACGAUGUCUAUUAGCCGUUGGGUCUGUUACGGACUUGGUGGCGCAGCUAACGCGAUAAAUAGACCGCCUGGGGAGUACGGCCGCAAGGUUAAAACUCAAAUGAAUUGACGGGGGCCCGCACAAGCGGUGGAGCAUGUGGUUUAAUUCGAAGCAACGCGAAGAACCUUACCUACUCUUGAAAUCCAGUGAACUUAGCAGAGAUGCUUUGGUGCCUUCGGGAACACUGAGAC
This 243-nucleotide ribosomal RNA is filed under the name uncultured bacterium. Its description in RNAcentral is "partial 16S ribosomal RNA". It matches the Rfam family "Bacterial small subunit ribosomal RNA", at positions 793 to 1035 of the family's 1533-position model. The record is from RNAcentral.